GGUUUGAUCCUGGCUCAGAUUGAACGCUGGCAGGAUGCUUUACACAUACCAAGUCGAACGGCAGCACGGACUUCGGUCUGGUGGCGAGUGGCGAACGGGUGAGUAAUGUAUCGGAACGUGCCUAGUAGCGGGGGAUAACUGCAUGGCCUUAGCUAAUACCACGCCGCCCUUCGAGGAAAAGCGGGGGACCUUCGGGCCUCGCACUAUUAGGAAGCGGCCGAUAUCGGAUUAGCUAGUUGGUGGGGUAACGGCUCACCAAGGCGACGAUCCGUAGCUGGUUUGAGAGGACGACCAGCCGCACUGGGACUGAGACACGGCCCAGACUCCUACGGGAGGCAGCAGUGGGAAUUUUGGACAAUGGGGAAACCUGAUCCAGCCAUCCCGCGUGUGCGAUGAAGGCCUUCCGGGUUGUAAAACACUUUUGGCAGGAAAGAAACGGCACGGGAUAAUACCCCGUGCAACUGACGGUACCUGCGGAAUAAGCACCGGCUAACUACGUGCCAGCAGCCGCGGUAAUACGUAAGUGCAAGCCAAUCGGAAUUACUGGGCGUAAAGCGUGCGCAGGCGGUUCGGAAGAAAGAUGUGAAAUCCCAGAGCUUAACUUUGGAACUGCAUUUUUAACUACCGAGCUAGAGGAAGAGUGUGUCAGAGGGAGGUGGAAUUCCGCGUGUAGCAGUGAAAUGCGUAGAUAUGCGGAGGAACACCGAUGGCGAAAGGCAACCUCGGGAUAACACUGACGCUCAUGCACGAAAGCGUGGGAGCAAACAGGAUUAGAUACCCUGGUAGUCCACGCCCUAAACGAUGUCAACUAAGCUGUUGGGGCCUUCAGGCCUUGUGGCGCAACUAACGCGUGAGAUUGACCGCCUGGGAAAUACGGUCGCAAGAUUAAAACUCAAAGGAAUUGACGGGGACCCGCACAAGCGAGUGGAUGAUGUGGAUUAAUUCGAUGCAACGCGAAAAACCUUACCUACCCUUGACAUGUCUGGAAUCCCGAAGAGAUUUAGAGGUACUCGCAAGAGAACCGGAACACAGGUGCUGCAUGGCUGUCGUCAGCUCGUGUCGUGAGAUGUUGGGUUAAGUCCCGCAACGAGCGCAACCCUUGUCAUUAGUUGCUACGAGGCACUCUAAUGAGACUGCCGGUGACAAACCGGAGGAAGGUGAGGAUGACGUCAAGUCCUCAUGGCCCUUAUGGGUAAGGGCUUCACACGUCAUACAAUGGUCAGGACAGAGGUCGCCAACCCGCGAGGGGAGCCAAUCCCAGGAAACCCGAUCGUAGUCCGGAUCGCAGUCUGCAACUCGACUGCGUGAAGUCGGAAUCGCUGGUAAUCGCGGAUCAGCAUGUCGCGGUGAAUACGUUCCCGGGUCUUGUACACACCGCCCGUCACCGUGAUUAAGGUUUUGCAAAGUAGUUAGCCUAACCGUAAGGAGGGCGAUUACCACGGUAGGAUUCAUGACUGGGGUGAAGUCGUAACAAGGUAA
RNAcentral lists this ribosomal RNA (1479 nucleotides) under uncultured Bordetella sp. RNAcentral describes it as "partial 16S-23S ribosomal RNA intergenic spacer". It matches the Rfam family "Bacterial small subunit ribosomal RNA". Lineage: Bacteria; Pseudomonadati; Pseudomonadota; Betaproteobacteria; Burkholderiales; Alcaligenaceae. The record is from RNAcentral.